RNAcentral lists this ribosomal RNA (497 nucleotides) under uncultured bacterium. RNAcentral describes it as "partial 16S ribosomal RNA". It matches the Rfam family "Bacterial small subunit ribosomal RNA", at positions 28 to 507 of the family's 1533-position model. The record is from RNAcentral.
GAUGAACGCUGGCGGCGUGCCUAAUACAUGCAAGUCGAGCGAACGGACGAGAAGCUUGCUUCUCUGAUGUUAGCGGCGGACGGGUGAGUAACACGUGGAUAACCUACCUAUAAGACUGGGAUAACUUCGGGAAACCGGAGCUAAUACCGGAUAAUAUUUUGAACCGCAUGGUUCAAAAGUGAAAGACGGUCUUGCUGUCACUUAUAGAUGGAUCCGCGCUGCAUUAGCUAGUUGGUAAGGUAACGGCUUACCAAGGCAACGAUGCAUAGCCGACCUGAGAGACGGAUCGCCCACACUGGAACUGAGACACGUUCCUGACUCCUACGGGAGGCAGCAGUAGGGAAUCUGCCGCAGUGGGCGGAAGCCUGACGGAGCAACGCCGCGUGAGUGAUGAAGGUCUUCGGAUCGUAAAACUCUGUUAUUAGGGAAGAACAGAUGUGUAAGUAACUGUGCACAUCGUGACGGUACCUAAUCAGAAAGCCACGGCUAACUACGUG